GGUGAGGUGGCCGAGUGGUUUAAGGCGCACGCCUGGAACGCGUGUAUAGGGGAAACUCUAUCGUGGGUUCGAAUCCCACCCUCACCGCCA
This 90-nucleotide transfer RNA is filed under the name Alphaproteobacteria bacterium. RNAcentral describes it as "tRNA-Ser". It matches the Rfam family "tRNA". From Rfam's summary of the family: Transfer RNA (tRNA) molecules are approximately 80 nucleotides in length. Their secondary structure includes four short double-helical elements and three loops (D, anti-codon, and T loops). Further hydrogen bonds mediate the characteristic L-shaped molecular structure. tRNAs have two regions of fundamental functional importance: the anti-codon, which is responsible for specific mRNA codon recognition, and the 3' end, to which the tRNAs corresponding amino acid is attached (by aminoacyl-tRNA synthetases). tRNAs cope with the degeneracy of the genetic code in two manners: having more than one tRNA (with a specific anti-codon) for a particular amino acid; and 'wobble' base-pairing, i.e. permitting non-standard base-pairing at the 3rd anti-codon position. Lineage: Bacteria; Pseudomonadati; Pseudomonadota; Alphaproteobacteria. RNAcentral also lists the same sequence under 1 other name. The record is from RNAcentral.